AGAUUGAACGCUGGCGGCAUGCCUUACACAUGCAAGUCGAACGGCAGCACGGGAGCAAUCCUGGUGGCGAGUGGCGAACGGGUGAGUAAUAUAUCGGAACGUGCCCAGUCGUGGGGGAUAACGCAGCGAAAGCUGUGACUAAUACCGCAUACGAUCUAUGGAUGAAAGCGGGGGAUCGCAAGACCUCGCGCGAUUCGGAGCGGCCGAUAUCAGAUUAGGCUAAGUUGGUGGGUAAAAGCCUACCAAGGCGACGAUCUGUAGCUGGUCUGAGAGGACGACCAGCCGACACUGGAACUGACGACGACGGUCCAGACCUCCGUACGGGAGCAGCAGGUGGGUAUUUGGACAAGUGGCG
Molecule: ribosomal RNA, 355 nt
Filed under: uncultured soil bacterium
Lineage: Bacteria
Description: bacterial SSU rRNA
Rfam family: Bacterial small subunit ribosomal RNA
Source: RNAcentral